AUGGUCUGCUGGAUCCUGCUGCUCAUCAGCCUGACCCCCUUUACCUGGGGUCAGUUUUUAUCCACUAACUCAAAUCAAUUGGAAAUCCAAAAUAAUCCAAGUUGUGAGUGUGUGUGGUCGUCACUUUCCCUCUGUGUCUCCUCAACAGGAACAUUUGUAGUGAAUGUGACACAGAGCUCCUAUCAGGCAGAGGAGAACCACGACAUCACACUGGACUGGACCUUCACAGCUCCCAGCUCCUCCACCCCCAUUUAUAUCUUCUGUGAAAGGACGAUUGAUGAGAAAGUCCUGUUGAAGCUACGUAACGGUGUUGAGGUCCCAGAGUCUCAGGACAAACAGUUUUCAGGACGAGUCCAGUUUGACAAAGACGUCCUCAGAGAAGGACGAGUCAGACUUCAUGUGUCCAGACUCAGGACUGAGGACUCUGGCCUGUACCUGUGUGAAGUGCAGACAGGUGGUGGUAGUGGUUAUGCUGACUGUCGCCUCAACGUCACAGCAGCGUCUGAUCGGCCCCGACCUCUGAGACCAGAACCAAAGAGGCCAGAACCAGAGAGUCGAGGAAGGAUCGGUCUCUACGUUGGACUGGGACUGACAGCAGCAGCAGCAGUUGUUCUACUGGUCACACUCUGCUUCAGUCUUUGUUUUACUGAACCUGCUGAUGUGUCAGUAAACGCCUCUUCAGUGGUGUAAAGUGUCUCAGAGAUCAGACUUUGACCCUGUUGGUCCAUGAGGCAGCUUUUCCCUGAACACACAGUCUGAGCUCUGUAAGAAGCACACAGGUCUGGUUGGACUCAUCAGGACUAAGAGGACCCCUUUUCUAUUAAAGCACUGGGUAAAGACAAGAAUCAAUCUAUCUUAGAAAAUUAGAAUAUUGUGAAGAAGUUCAAUGCUGGAGACUCAUGGUGUCAAACUCUAAUCAGCUAAUUAACUCAGAACACCUACCAAGGUUUCCUGAGCCUGAGAGCUUCAUAUGACUCUGUGUCCAAGUGCAAGAGAAGCAUUUGCCUAUGUGGCUUCUCAUUUCAGUUCUCGCUCAUAGAAAAAAGAUUUCUCUGGUUCCUCAGUCCAGUCCAGAAACCAAACCAGUUCAAAUUGCUCAGAAAACACCUUCAUGUUUAUUAACUGAUUCUAAAAUCCACCUUUGCUGGGAUGUUAAAGAAGAAGACUCCUUCCACCAUCAGCAGGACAGCAGGUUUCUCUAAAGUCAUUUUCUUUUCUCAGCAGCUGGCAGUUCAGUUUACGUAUCUCUGUUCUGUCCCACAGGGAUUUUAUCACUAAUGCUGCAUUUUUUACACUUUGAGGUAUUAGACUUGAUGUAUUUGUAUUUGAUGAUCCUUUAAGUUGCACUGAAGUUAAGUUGUACAUGUAGUACUUCUGUAAUGACCUCAGGAAAAGUAUCUGCUACUUGAAUCAAAGAAGAAAAGUUGUGAUAUUUAAAGCUGCAGAGUUCAAGUUUCCAGCUAAGCUAGCUCAGCUAACUGACUGUUGACUGUGUUUCUUUGCUCAUGUGUAAGUCACUAAUGUUUAGUUCACUGGUCUGAAAUGCUCAGAGGUAAAAAGUGUCGUUACAUUUUUAUAUUAAAAUGUGAGUGAUGGAUCCACUCGUCUUUCCUCUGCCUGGUUUCAUAUUAUUUUAAAGAUGCAAUGUGUAAAAUGUGAAAGAUUUAGCAGCACCUAGUCAUGAGAUGACAGAAUCCAACCUUCAGGGUAAUGUUGACUAUUGGAUGCUAAGUGUUAAGUAGUGAUGAGAAUUAAGGGUCUUCAAAGGUAAAACAGCUCAUGGGUUAUAGAAGUUAAACUGCUUUUAAAGCAACAGUUCCACAAAACUGGAAGACGUUUUAUUGGAACGAUGAAGAACAAGUAUGAACUAACAACACUUAUUUAACAACAGCCCUGAAAUAGAAGUGUUUCCUGUUUUUGCUCAGAAACAUGUUUAACUUGUGAACUAUAUAUAAGUCACCUUCAUGAUUUGACUAGGUCAGCAUUUUAAAGCAGUCCAUGUAUUGGUCCUUCAACAUUUAGUACAAAUACUUUCUGUUUCCCAGCACACAAAGGUCCUUUUGUGUUUGGGUAAAGACACUUGAUUCUUGCUUCGUCUUAUCACUCAGCAGAGGAAGAUGAUGAAGUGUCGGUUCAGCUGAUCCACACAAAAUCCUUCCAGCUGUGCAGAGGUGGGUCAUGUGUUUUUUGGUUUAGACCAUAACAGCCUGGAAAUAUCCAGACAGAGAGAGACAGUCCAACCUGUGGAUUUAUGGCAGGAAGUGAAAUCAUUAGUUUUCAUUGAACAACCUGAUCAUAGUUUAUAGAAGAGCGACACCUGCUGGCUGAGUUGGAGAACUGCACGUGAGGGGUCGUCCUGACAAAGCCUCGUGGCUUCAG
Molecule: long non-coding RNA, 2379 nt
Organism: Mastacembelus armatus (zig-zag eel)
Lineage: Eukaryota; Metazoa; Chordata; Actinopteri; Synbranchiformes; Mastacembelidae
Source: Ensembl